AGAACUGGUAAUGAUAUCAAGAACUACUGAAUGACUAAGCUCAUGGAAAAAAAAAAGAAAAAAAACUAAUGGGCAUGAUGAUUCAUACUUUUCACAAGAAAAUUAGCACACAGUUUGUCGUCUCUUCUUCAAGCUUAUCAUUACUGUCAACGGCACUAUCAUCAUCAUCAUCGUCGUCAUCCACACAACUAAUAAUUGAGUGUAGCAGCAGGAACAUUUACUAUACUAAGCUAUUUCAUUUUCAAGUCUUUUGAGCAGUAGCAAUGACUUGCUACUUCUACUGCAUCUUGCUACAAAAUCAACAAAGCCUCAUGGGGGUUCCUUGCAAAAUUAUCAGCUGCAAGACGUUAGCGUUAGGAGGUGAAGUUAGCUGCAGAUAUUCUGAUGGAAGUUGCAACAACUAAAUCAGCUAGCCAUGCCACAGAAUUGGAGUAUAUAUGGUCGAUAUGGCGGUGCAAGUUGUUUCUAUUAUGGACCUGAAGAGAGCCAGAAAUUACUGGUUGGUGCUACUGCUGGUGGUGGUGGUCGGUGGUGUGGAUCAGCAAAUUGGGUUAAGGGAGAUAAUCAAAUAGAUCAUAUAUGGUCUUAGAAAAGAUUAAGCAGCUAAUGAGCACUAGGAGUUGUGCCAAGUGACAACUUUUUGUUAGAAGAUAACAAGACAGAAGAGAAAAGGGUUGUAUACUAUUGAUGGAUGUUGACUGUGAGAAAAAAGAAUCACAAAGAUAGGAUAUGGCUUGAAGACUUUGAAUUUGGUAGGGAUUUGGAUUUGUUUUUUUUCCUUUUUCCCAAUUGGAAAAUACUUCUUUGACAGUACUUUAAAACUAUACAAAGAAGAAAUUCACAAUUUGAAACUUUUAAUCUGUGCACUUCUUUUUGGGAAAUCAUAUGUGUGUGUGCUACUAGUUACAGUUUAACUCCAACAUUCAGAAGUAAGUGUCAUGGAUAUCAGAGAGGCAUAUCAUCAUUUUUCAAGAACAAAUCUGUAAGGCCAGGAAUUACUGUUCUUUUCUUGGAAAUUUUCAUGUAAAUAUGCAGUCAAUUGUUUUGGGACUUCUGUAUAAUUUCUCUUUUUUUUUUUUUUCUUUUGAUUCUUGUCAAGCACAAAGUAUAAGAUCCUUGGAUAUAUUGGUAC
This 1132-nucleotide long non-coding RNA is filed under the name Ricinus communis (castor bean). RNAcentral describes it as "long non-coding RNA (RCOM_LNC001093)". The record is from RNAcentral. Lineage: Eukaryota; Viridiplantae; Streptophyta; Magnoliopsida; Malpighiales; Euphorbiaceae.